CUAUUAUAUCCCUGCAAAAAAUUGUGCGACUAAUCUCUAAAGAGAGUAUUCCGGGACUAGUCUCGAUGUGGAACAAUUGAGUAUUAAUUAGUCGCAACUAGUCUCAAACGGGUAUAAUUGGAGAUCAAUUAGUCUCAAUUAAUCCCUAUCGGGUACUAUUGGGAAAAAAGUUAGAAUUUUGGCAAAAAUACAUUCAUAAAUUUCAAAGCAAAGUUACUGAAUUUCCUUCAAUUCAAUUAUCAUAACCUAUUACAUUUAAAAAAAACCAUAAGUAAUGAAUUUCGUACAUGUAGGACAAUAAUAAAAAUGGUCAAAUAGUUAUCAACAAGUUUGACUAUUGUGAAUGGUAUUUACAUGGCAAUUGUCAAAAUCAAUUGUUUGACAGCAGCCACUUGAAAUAACGAAGCGCAAAAUAUUUAGUUUUUUGGCUUUGUUAUAUAUAUUAUGGAAUAAAGAAAACGCAUUGAAGAAUAAUAACUAAGGGAUCUAAAGUCAAUAGAGGUUAUUAGUGUGUUGCUGAAAUUUGAGAACCCAUGUGCUGCUGUAAUGGAUUCUACUAAUGUGCAAGUGGUUUCAUUUGACGACGAACAAAUAAUUGCUGUUGGCCGGGCUCUCAGAGCUGUAGCGGACGAAGUUUUCGAAGAACCCAAACACGAACUCGUUUUAUAGGAAUCUGCGAUGUCUGCUAUUUUAUGCAACAAUCUCAGAAAUAUAAGGCUGCUGUUAAAUAAGGACGUCAUAGCGUCAAUAAACGUGGAUGGUUCACAUGGAAAGAUAAGCUUAAAAUCUUUCCCAAAUUUUUAUGCUUCAUUGACUGGAGCCAUUGCCAAAUUACCAUUUAAGGGAUUGUCGCCGGAGGACGCGCUGCGCAAAGCCAUUGCUUUCGAAAAAGCUAAAUGCUUUAAGAAAGCUUUUGUUCACGCGUUAUAUGAAAGCAAGAAAUCAACGCGAACUUUUUGAGUGGAGUACAAAACUGCGUAAACGAUUUUUUUUAAGAUACAUUUUUUUAAAUUUUGAUGAUAAUUUCUUUCAUGAGUUUUGCAAAAAUUUUGAUUUGUCAGAUUUAUGUUAGAGAAGCUGUAUUUAAAGUGUUUAAAGUCAAUUAAAUAGAAAUACAUAUUUUAAAACGAAGGCUUCGGAUAAAAUUUAUCUUGAUUGUUAAAGGGAUUUUAGAGGUUUUAUAACGACUGGUCUCAUUCUGCUACCAUUGCGACCUACAAAGCGACUAGUCCCUUUUUAUACCCAUUUGGGUAUAAAUGGGUACAAUUAGUCUCUUCAUAGGACAUGCUCGAACAAAAGGGAACAGUUCAGUCCAUACAAAGAGAUGUAAAGUGGGAUUAGUCGCAUGUUCCUUUGCGACUAAUCCCGGACACAUCCCGGACUAGUCGCAUUUUUUGCAGGGAU
This is a long non-coding RNA of Bactrocera dorsalis (oriental fruit fly), 1404 nucleotides long. RefSeq lists it as uncharacterized. The record is from RefSeq and is a predicted model, not a curated record. The transcript is spliced from 3 exons. NCBI's taxonomy places the organism in Eukaryota, Metazoa, Arthropoda, Insecta, Diptera, Tephritidae.